GCAUGGCACCGUGAUCGUGUGUAUCUACUGAUUGACUAACGAGCCUGCGCCUGGAUUGUAGAUGUCGCUUGUGAUUGGAUAACGAGGCGCAUCCUUGACCUUUAACAGCGGAAGGAAAGCGUAACACUUCCGGGGCCAGUGAUGGUUCCGAAGGGACGCUGUGUGAGGGCACAGAGAACAGAGUUUGCUGUUAUUUCGACGAGGUGCAGAGGAAACAAGAGGAGAUGUGUGGACGUCUCCAUGGUGACCGCUGUGGUGGAGAGGAGGUGGCUGGUGCAGACGAUGUGGAGGCAGGGGAGAUGACGGAUGGUGGUGGUGACGAAUUUGAAGAUGUAGCCACCAGUGACAUGAUAGAGAACCAUAUAUCGGAUGUUGACAAUUAAAUCAGGUCAGUAUCUAAGUGUAGUAUAUAACACAAUACUGUUUUAAAUUGUAAAUAUAAGGGAACAAACCAAUUGCUGUCAGUUGGUGUCUCAGAGAAUAGAGUAAGCGUAAAGAAAUGAUGUUUGCAGAAGAUCAACUUGGAGGAACAGUUACCAGCAGAACCUUCUUCAACGAUAAGGGGUUAAAGAAAAGAAAGGACUGUUUUUGAAACGAUUAUGUUCAAAUGUUCCUCAUUGGAUUAUAACGUUCCUAAUAUGUACUUGCUGUAUAUUGACAUUGACAUGCUAAAAAACUACAAAACUCUGAACCUUUACGUAUAUUUGUGUCUACUGUAAAAUAAAUACCAAUUAAAACAAAUCAUUUAAUAAUUCAUAAAUAAAUUAAUAGAUACAUUAUUUAAACAAAAACAGAAAUAAAAAGAGAACAAAUGAGUUUAUUAAGUUUAAGUUUAUUAAUAACAUUUCAGAUCGUCAGUCACAUCCAUCCACUAGGUAGUAGGUUUCAGGUGCAAAUCCAACAAACUCUAUCAUUUAUUUAUUUAACAGAAAACAAUGACAUAUUUUCACAUGACACUUCACUCCUAAUAUUAUAAGCUAUUAUUACAAUAAACAGUGAAUGUUGGUACAUGUUUGUUGCAAUGAAUUGAGCUGCUCAACAGUUUUUCUGAUUUUCCUCUGGAUGAUGCAACGGACAUUGCCCUUCAGAGAGAAAUCUACUCGUAUCGCAUUCGUCAUUUAAAAGUAUUUUAAAGUAAGAUGAUCUUUCUUCAGUCUCCAAAACUAAACCAAAAAUUGAAACCUCACUCUCAUGGGGUUAUUGGACACUGUGUGAUCAUAGGCUGUGAAUUCAACCUUUUUAUUUUUUUACAUUCCUUGUU
Cynoglossus semilaevis (tongue sole) is the source of this 1261-nucleotide RNA transcript. It is a transcript of the gene named RNA-binding Raly-like protein, with no coding region annotated. The transcript is spliced from 3 exons. The record is from RefSeq and is a predicted model, not a curated record. NCBI's taxonomy places the organism in Eukaryota, Metazoa, Chordata, Actinopteri, Pleuronectiformes, Cynoglossidae.